CCUAGUGAAACAAAGCAUACUUGCAGGCAGUCCAACACAAACAUCAUCUUGGAGCCAACCAAAAAAUGCAACUAAAAUGUUGGGAACUAUGGGGAGAGACACAGAAUAAAACAGAUGCUGUUGCUGUGCCAUUUUACAAAUACGUAGUCCAUCAUCAGUUUGACUAUUGUGGGUAGCUUUUGUAAGAUUAGAAUGGCAAUUUUAGGUAGAGCAAACUCCAGCGUAGUUAAGAAAAGCAGCCUGUGACAGGGAUCAGUAGCAGAUGUGUAAGAACCUCUGAGGGUAAGUAUAGAAUGAUGAUCCCUGAUAUAGUGCCCCAGCUUUGCACCUCUCCAACUUGUGGACUUCCAGAGCCAGAGAUAGUGUCUUUGUAAUUAGUAUAUCUUGCUAGAUCGUUCUUCAGUGAACUUUUCUGAUGCUUUUUUUAACUGAUUAGGUUAUAUUUCUGGCAUACAAAUGUUCUGUGGCAAAACGUUCCAUUACUUCAUUAACCUUUGUGAAGGAGCUAUCUCCUUUGAACUUGUCAUUUCGUAAUCUUAUUUGAUGUCUCCAAUUUUUGCAUUCUGAGAAGCCAUGAGUAAUUGUUCCUUAUUCAUCGGUUUUAUCCCACUUACUACUUUAUUACCUCUUAACAACUGUAUGAAUGUGAUCUCUCACUACAAAAAGUCAUAGUCACCCUGUCUCAAAAAAAGAAACCUUGAACAUGUGGAGAAGUGCAAGGAGACAACCAGAAGUAUGACAUUAAGAGGAGUAAUUUAAAAGACCAGAAGUAUUGAGCUUGUAAAAGAGUGUUUCAGUUGAGAAAGGGGCUCAGGUAUGAUGAGUCUAGCUCUUGAGUGGAAUGAAGCAUAAGGAUGCGUACCAAGCAAUCUUGGAUGGUGUGAAAGGAGGUGCCAAGGAGAAGAGACUUGCAGCCCAAUUUAUUCCGAAGUUCUUCAAGCAUUUUCCUGAGCUAGCUGACUCAGCUAUCAAUGCCCAGUUGGACCUCUGUGAGGAUGAAGAUGUUUCUAUCCGGCGACAAGCAAUCAAGGAAUUGCCUCAGUUUGCCACUGGAGAUAAUCUUCCUCGGGUAGCAGACAUACUGACCCAGCUUCUACAGUCAGAUGAUUCUGCAGAAUUCAAUUUGGUGAACAAUGCUUUGCUCAGUAUAUUUAAGAUGGAUGCUAAAGGGACUUUGGGAGGCUUAUUCAGUCAGAUUCUUCAGGGAGAGGAUAUUGUGAGAGAGCGAGCCAUCAAGUUCCUUUCUACAAAACUGAAAACUCUGCCUGAGGAGGUGAUGACAAAGGAGGUAGAAGAGUUCAUAUUGACUGAAUCAAAGAAGGUGCUGGAAGAUGUGACAGGCGAGGAAUUUGUUCUGUUCAUGAAAAUAUUGUCUGGAUUAAAAAGCUUACAGACAGUAAGUGGGAGGCAGCAGCUAGUGGAGCUGGUAGCCGAACAAGCUGACCUGGAACAAACGUUCAAUCCAUCUGAUCCAGAUUGUGUGGACAGACUUCUACAGUGUACUCGGCAGGCAGUGCCGCUCUUCUCAAAAAACGUUCAUUCCACAAAAUUUGUUACUUACUUCUGUGAGCAUGUUCUGCCAAACCUCAGUUCUUUGACUACUCCAGUAGAGGGUCUUGAUAUCCAGUUAGAGGUUUUGAAGCUUCUUGCUGAAAUGAGUUCAUUUUGUGGCGAUAUGGAAAAGCUUGAAUCAAAUUUGAAGAAGCUGUUUGAUAAAUUACUGGAGUAUAUGCCUCUUCCUCCGGAGGAAGCAGAGAAUGGGGAAAAUGCCGGCAAUGAAGAGCCCAAGUUGCAAUUCAGUUAUGUGGAGUGUUUAUUGUAUAGCUUCCACCAGCUGGGUCGUAAACUUCCGGACUUCCUCACAGCCAAGCUGAAUGCAGAGAAAUUGAAAGACUUUAAAAUCAGGCUACAGUAUUUUGCUCGAGGGUUGCAGGUGUAUAUUCGACAGCUUCGUCUAGCACUUCAAGGAAAAACAGGAGAAGCCUUGAAAACAGAGGAGAACAAGAUUAAGGUGGUUGCCUUGAAAAUAACCAAUAACAUCAAUGUUUUAAUCAAGGAUCUCUUCCACAUUCCUCCUUCUUACAAAAGUACAGUUACACUGUCCUGGAAACCAGUACAGAAGGCAGAUGCAAGUCAAAAAAGAGCAAGUGAAGAUACAACCUCAAGUUCACCCCCAAAGAAACCUUCGGCAGGACCAAAAAGGGAUGCCAGGCAAAUAUAUAAUCCUCCCAGUGGAAAGUACAGCAGUAACCUGGGUAGUUUUUCUUACGCACUCGCACCCCAAAUGUCCCAUUGGACAGACCAGUUGCUGCAAAUGGCAGAGCUGGGCCACCUGUCAAACAACUGGACCUGUGCUGAAUUCCUAUUACAGCCGCUGCUGAUGUUGCAGACCUGAUCCAGAACAUCUGGGAAUUGCCAGGUUCACUGUGCAUACACACAGUUAUGUCCUCAUGUUCCCAGUCAGAGUGAUUCUCUCUCUGUGCAAGUCGUAAUUCUGGGCAAAGCGCGAGAACAGUUGCAGACUGGAUGAACAGGCCCAACAAUGGCAGCGACCUGUUCUGUUCCCUGUAGGCCCAUUGGUCUUAUCUCUGUCAAGUAAACAGCCUGCUAUGACAAAUUAUUACCUGUGCCCAGCAAAGAGGUGGUUUCCGGGGUGGACGAGGAAGAGGCUGGGGAGGACGUGGCAAUCGUAGCCGAGGAAGAAUCUACUG
Molecule: RNA transcript, 2711 nt
Organism: Haliaeetus leucocephalus (bald eagle)
Lineage: Eukaryota; Metazoa; Chordata; Aves; Accipitriformes; Accipitridae
Gene: API5
Gene name: apoptosis inhibitor 5
Exons: 15
Source: RefSeq, a predicted model, not a curated record